UGCAAGUCGAACGGUGAUGUCAGAGCUUGCUCUGGCGGAUCAGUGGCGAACGGGUGAGUAACACGUGAGUAACCUGCCCCCGACUCUGGGAUAACUGCUAGAAAUGGUAGCUAAUACCGGAUAUGACGACUGGCCGCAUGGUCUGGUCGUGGAAAGAACUUCGGUUGGGGAUGGACUCGCGGCCUAUCAGGUUGUUGGUGAGGUAAUGGCUCACCAAGCCUACGACGGGUAGCCGGCCUGAGAGGGUGACCGGCCACACUGGGACUGAGACACGGCCCAGACWCMUACGGGAGGCAGCAGUGGGGAAUAUUGCACAAUGGGCGCAAGCCUGAUGCAGCAACGCCGCGUGAGGGAUGACGGCCUUCGGGUUGUAAACCUCUUUUAGUAGGGAAGAAGCGAAAGUGACGGUACCUGCAGAAAAAGCACCGGCUAACUACGUGCCAGCAGCCGCGGUAAUACGUAGGGUGCAAGCGUUGUCCGGAAUUAUUGGGCGUAAAGAGCUCGUAGGCGGUUUGUCGCGUCUGCUGUGAAAUCCCGAGGCUCAACCUCGGGUCUGCAGUGGGUACGGGCAGACUAGAGUGCGGUAGGGGAGAUUGGAAUUCCUGGUGUAGCGGUGGAAUGCGCAGAUAUCAGGAGGAACACCGAUGGCGAAGGCAGAUCUCUGGGCCGUAACUGACGCUGAGGAGCGAAAGCAUGGGGAGCGAACAGGAUUAGAUACCCUGGUAGUCCAUGCCGUAAACGUUGGGAACUAGAUGUGGGGACCAUUCCACGGUCUCCGUGUCGCAGCUAACGCAUUAA
This 798-nucleotide ribosomal RNA is filed under the name Clavibacter sp. AN27. RNAcentral's name for it is "bacterial SSU rRNA". It matches the Rfam family "Bacterial small subunit ribosomal RNA", at positions 56 to 863 of the family's 1533-position model. Lineage: Bacteria; Bacillati; Actinomycetota; Actinomycetes; Micrococcales; Microbacteriaceae. The record is from RNAcentral.